GACGAACCGAGCGAACGUUGUUCGGAAUAACUGGGCUUAAAGGGCGCGUAGGCGGGCUGUCAAGUCUGGGGUGAAAUCCCGCGGCUCAACCGUGGAACUGCCUCAGAUACUGACGGCCUCGAGGGAGGUAGGGGCGAGCGGAACUAAUGGUGGAGCGGUGAAAUGCGUUGAUAUCAUUAGGAACUCCGGUGGCGAAGGCGGCUCGCUGGACCUUUUCUGACGCUGAGGCGCGAAAGCUAGGGGAGCAAACGG
This 252-nucleotide ribosomal RNA is filed under the name uncultured bacterium. Its description in RNAcentral is "partial 16S ribosomal RNA". It matches the Rfam family "Bacterial small subunit ribosomal RNA", at positions 524 to 775 of the family's 1533-position model. The record is from RNAcentral.